UACGAAGGGGGCUAGCGUUGUUCGGAAUUACUGGGCGUAAAGCGCGCGCAGGCGGUUUUUCAAGUCAGUGGUGAAAGCCCGGAGCUCAACUCCGGAACUGCCUUUAAGACUGCAUCGCUAGAAUUGUGGAGAGGUGAGUGGAAUUCCGAGUGUAGAGGUGAAAUUCGUAGAUAUUCGGAAGAACACCAGUGGCGAAGGCGACUCACUGGACACAUAUUGACGCUGAGGUGCGAAAGCGUGGGGAGCAAACAGG
RNAcentral lists this ribosomal RNA (253 nucleotides) under uncultured bacterium. RNAcentral's name for it is "partial 16S ribosomal RNA". It matches the Rfam family "Bacterial small subunit ribosomal RNA", at positions 524 to 776 of the family's 1533-position model. The record is from RNAcentral.